This 328-nucleotide ribosomal RNA is filed under the name uncultured eukaryote. RNAcentral describes it as "partial 18S ribosomal RNA". It matches the Rfam family "Eukaryotic small subunit ribosomal RNA", at positions 1470 to 1796 of the family's 1831-position model. The record is from RNAcentral.
CCCUUAGAUGUCCUGGGCCGCACGCGCGCUACACUGAUGCAUGCAACGAGUUUAUAACCUUGGCCUGAAAGGUCUGGGUAAUCUUUUGAACGUGCAUCGUGAUAGGGAUAGAUUAUUGCGAUUGUUAAUCUUGAACGAGGAAUUCCUAGUAAACGCGAGUCAUCAGCUCGCAUUGAUUACGUCCCUGCCCUUUGUACACACCGCCCGUCGCACCUACCGAUUGAAUGGUUCGGUGAAGAUCUCGGACUUCGAUAUUUAUUCUUUAUUGAGUUUAUAUUGUGGGAAGUUAUCUAAACCUCAUCAUUUAGAGGAAGGUGAAGUCGUAACA